UGUCAAAGUCAGGGCCAGAGAAGAAGGCA
This 29-nucleotide non-coding RNA is filed under the name Homo sapiens (human). The record is from RNAcentral. Lineage: Eukaryota; Metazoa; Chordata; Mammalia; Primates; Hominidae.